UUAAUGAGAGUUUGAUCCUGGCUCAGGACGAACGCUGGCGGCGUGCCUAAUACAUGCAAGUAGAACGCUGAGGUUUGGUGUUUACACUAGACUGAUGAGUUGCGAACGGGUGAGUAACGCGUAGGUAACCUGCCUCAUAGCGGGGGAUAACUAUUGGAAACGAUAGCUAAUACCGCAUAAGAGUAAUUAACACAUGUUAGUUAUUUAAAAGGAGCAAUUGCUUCACUGUGAGAUGGACCUGCGUUGUAUUAGCUAGUUGGUGAGGUAAAGGC
RNAcentral lists this ribosomal RNA (272 nucleotides) under Streptococcus agalactiae. Its description in RNAcentral is "partial 16S ribosomal RNA". It matches the Rfam family "Bacterial small subunit ribosomal RNA", at positions 1 to 264 of the family's 1533-position model. Lineage: Bacteria; Bacillati; Bacillota; Bacilli; Lactobacillales; Streptococcaceae. The record is from RNAcentral.